RNAcentral lists this ribosomal RNA (339 nucleotides) under uncultured bacterium. RNAcentral describes it as "partial 16S ribosomal RNA". It matches the Rfam family "Bacterial small subunit ribosomal RNA", at positions 338 to 669 of the family's 1533-position model. The record is from RNAcentral.
CCUACGGGAGGCAGCAGUGGGGAAUAUUGCGCAAUGGGCGAAAGCCUGACGCAGCGACGCCGCGUGAGGGAUGAAGGUCUUCGGAUCGUAAACCUCUGUCAGCAGGGAAGAACGGUCACGGGGCUAAGCAGCAGUGAAUUGACGGUACCUGCAAAGGAAGGACAGGCUAACUCCGUGCCAGCAGCCGCGGUAAGACGGAGGGUGCGAGCGUUAAUCGGAAUUACUGGGAGGAAAGCGCUCGUAGGCGGUAUGUCAAGUCAAGGGUGAAAGCCCCGCGCUCAACGUGGGAACUGCCUUUGAAACUGGCAAACUGGAGUGUGUUCGAGGCUAGUGGAAUUC